This 443-nucleotide ribosomal RNA is filed under the name uncultured bacterium. RNAcentral's name for it is "partial 16S ribosomal RNA". It matches the Rfam family "Bacterial small subunit ribosomal RNA", at positions 338 to 795 of the family's 1533-position model. The record is from RNAcentral.
CCUACGGGUGGCUGCAGUGGGGAAUCUUGGGCAAUGGAGGAAACUCUGACCCAGCAACGCCGCGUGAAUGAUGAAGUUCUUCGGAUUGUAAAGUUCUUUUCUAAGGGAAGAAGAAAGUGACGGUACCUUAGGAGUAAGCCUAGGCUAACUACGUGCCAGCAGCCGCGGUAAGACGUAGGAGGCAAGCGUUAUCCGGAAUGACUGGGCGUAAAGGGCGCGGAGGUGGUUUGACAAGUUGUUAGCGAAACGCCGGGGCUCAACCUCGGCACUACUACCAAAACUAUCGGACUUGAGUGCAGGAGGGGCAAAUGGAAUUCCUAGUGUAGCGGUGGAAUGCGUAGAUAUUAGGAGGAACACCAGUGGCGAAGGCGAUUUGCUGGACUGUAACUGACACUGAGGCACGAAAGCGUGGGGAGCAAACAGGAUUAGAUACCCCAGUAGUC